RNA transcript from Diospyros lotus (date-plum), 4134 nucleotides. It is a transcript of the gene named sister-chromatid cohesion protein 3, with no coding region annotated. The transcript is spliced from 23 exons. The record is from RefSeq and is a predicted model, not a curated record. Lineage: Eukaryota; Viridiplantae; Streptophyta; Magnoliopsida; Ericales; Ebenaceae.
UCCAAGCGGAAAACAAAAUCCCAUUGGCGUCGGCAAAUGCGGCACUUAACGCCGACUCUGCGCUCAAAGCUGUCUCUGCUUAUUGGCGGGAUUUUCCUUCCGCUUCGAGAAUCUUCCAAAAAUUAGGGCAAAAAAUGCUUUGGUGACUUAACGCAUUGGUUCGAUUCGCCCUCUCUUGUUCCGUUUUUUCUCUUUACUGGACGCUCUUUCUGGUCUGAGUAACAGUAGUAGGUAAUGGAGGAUUCGCCCGGAGCUUCAGAAGCAAUUCGUCGCUCGAAAAGGACUAGGGCUCAGAUUUUUCCGACGGGCGCUGGUCAAGGGACCCAGUCGAGGGGUAGCGGCCGAGAUAACCGGGACGAGGACAGCGAUCGGAGUGAUCAGAGCCCUAAUCGGCACGCCGACCGAGAGGACUCCGUUGAUGAUUUUGAGGAGCUUCGUCCCAAGGCUAAGCGAAAGCGGGCUUCCGAGGAGGCUUCCGCUGCGCCAAGCAAAAUUCACGCAAGUCUGAUCGAGAUUAUAAAAGGGAAUGGAAAGCUUAUUCCCCAAGUCGUUAAGAACUGGGUUGAACAGUAUGAAAAGGAUCCAAAGCCUGCAAUGGUUGAACUGUUGAUGAUGCUUUUUGAGGCUUGUGGAGCAAAGUAUAUAAUUGAUGAGGAGCUAUUGGACGAGAUUGAUGUUGAUGACGUAGUAGUUGCUCUUGUCAAUCUGGCUAAAAAAGGUCAAGUUGAAGACUAUCAAAGCUCAAAAAAGAAGGAGUUCAAGAAUUUUAAAGAUAAUCUUGCUUCAUUCUGGGACAAUUUGGUCACUGAGUGUCAAAAUGGGCCGUUGUUUGAUCAGAUCUUGUUUGACAAAUGCAUGGAUUAUGUAAUUGCACUUUCAUGUACUCCUCCAAGAAUUUAUCGUCAGGUUGCUUCAUUGAUGGGACUCCAACUUGUCACAUCCCUGAUAAAUGUUGCCAAAAUGCUUGGUGCACAGCGGGAAACUACUCAGAGGCAGUUAAAUGCUGAAAGGAAGAAGAGGACUGAUGGUCCACGUGUGGAAUCACUGAAUAAAAGAUUGUCUACGACACAUGAAAAGAUAAUGGUGAUAGAAGAGAUGAUGCGUAAAAUAUUUACAGGGUUGUUUGUGCAUCGUUACCGAGAUAUUGAUCCGGACAUUCGAAUGUCCUGCAUACAAUCACUUGGGAUGUGGAUCUUGUCAUACCCAUCACUGUUCUUGCAGGAUUUGUACUUGAAAUAUCUUGGAUGGACUUUGAAUGACAAGAAUGCUGGUGUAAGGAAGUCUUCUGCCCUUGCAUUGCAAAAUCUCUAUGAGGUGGAUGAUAAUGUACCAUCUCUUGGCCUUUUUACGGAAAGAUUUUCCAAUCGGAUGAUUGAACUUGCCGAUGACAUUGAUAUUUCAGUGGCUGUAUGUGCCAUAGGACUUGUGAAACAAUUACUAAGGCAUCAACUUAUACAUGAUGAUGACUUGGGUUCUUUGUAUGAUUUGCUAAUUGAUGAUCCUCCAGAGAUCAGGCGUGCCAUUGGAGAACUAGUAUACGGGCAUCUGAUUGCGCAGAAAUUUACUAGCUCUCAAUCACAUUCUAAAGGUGAUGACAAUGAUUCUUCAGAGGUGCAUCUUGGUAGAAUGUUGCAAAUACUAAGAGAGUUUUCAACUGAUCAAAUUCUAAGUACUUAUGUUAUUGAUGAUGUUUGGGAGUACAUGGAUGCCAUGAAGGAUUGGAAGUGUAUUGUCUCUAUGCUCCUGGAUGAGAAUCCUCUAAUUGAGCUUACUGAUGAGGACUCAACAAACUUGAUUCGGCUUCUCUCUGCCUCUAUCAGAAAGGCAGUGGGUGAAAAGAUAGUUCCUGCAACUGAUAAUAGAAAGCAAUACUACAAUAAAGGCCAAAGGGAAAUGUUUGAAAGCAAUAGGCGGGAUGUAACUGUAGCCAUGAUGAAGAGAUACCCUCAGCUUCUAAGCAAAUUCAUGGCUGAUAAGACAAAGAUAGCACCACUGAUUGAGAUUAUUGUUCAUAUGAACCUUGAACUUUAUUCCCUUAAGAGACAGGAGCAGAAUUUCAAGAAUGUUCUCCAACUUAUAAAAGAGGCAUUCUUCAAACAUGGUGAGAAGGAUCCUCUGAGGUGUUGCAUGAAAGCUAUCAAUUUUUGUUCUACUGAGAGUCGAGGAGAGUUACAAGAUUUUGCUCAAAAUAAAUUGAAGGAACUCGAGGAUGAGCUUGCUGCUAAGCUUAAAUCUGCAAUCAGAGAAGUGGCGGAUGAUGAUGAUGAAUACUCGUUGCUUGUAAGUUUGAAAAGGUUAUAUGAGCUUCAAUUGUCAAGAUCUUUUCCUAUGGAAAGCUUGUACGAAGAAGUGGCUGUGUUUCUUCAAAGUUUUAGAAACAUGGAUGAUGAGGUUGUCAGCUUCCUGCUUCUCAACAUGUAUUUACAUGUAGUGUGGUGCAUGCACUCCAUUAUAAACACUGAAACUGUCUCUGAGGCAUUUCUAAAUUCCUUAUUGUCUAAACGCACUACCUUGUUUGAGCAUCUUCAGUACUACCUGGAACACCCUCCUAAAGUUCAGGUGGAGGGUAAAUCGAGUGGUCACCUAGUGUGCAGGGUUUGUACUAUCCUUGCAGAGUCAUGGUGUUUGUUCAAAAAAACAAAUUUUGCUUCAACUAAGCUGGAAAGUUUAGGCUAUUGUCCUGACGAUUCUACUCUUCAAAAGUUUUGGAAAGUUUGUGAACAGCAGCUCAGCAUAUCAGAUGAGACAGAGGACGAAGAUGUCCACAAAGAAUAUGUUGAGGAGACAAACCGGGAUGCAAUCAUGAUUGCUGCUGCUAAGUUAAUUGCUAGUGAUGUGGUUCCAAAGGAGUAUCUUUGUCCGGAGAUCAUUUCUCAUUUUGUAAUGCAUGGACAGUCCGUAACAGAGAUUGUGAAGCAUCUCAUAGCUGUUUUAAAGAAAAGGGAUGAGAAUGUGUCCAGCUUUUUUCUAGAAGCAAUGAAACGGGCUUACCAUCGGCAACUGGUGGGAGUUUCAGGAAGCACUGAUGAAUCUCUGACAGGCAAGUCUUUUCAACAAUGCAAAGAUCUGGCUGCUCGGCUUUCUGGAACAUUUGUGGGUGCUGCUCGGCAUAAGUAUAGAUCAGACAUCUUGAACAUUGUUAAGGAUGGUAUUGAGUAUGCUUUUCUUGAUGCUCCAAAGCAGCUGUCCUUUUUGGAUGUCUCAGUUAUCCAUUUUGUCUCCAGACUUCCUAUGCCUGAUAUCCUAGAAAUUCUAAAGGAUGUAAAAAAACGAACAGAGAAUGUGGACACAGAGGUGGAUCCUAGUGGAUGGCGGCCCUAUUACACUUUCCUAGACAACUUAAAUGAGAAGUAUGCAAGGAAUGAAGUUUUCCAAGAUGAAAAGGAAGGGAUGACUGUCAGACGCCGAGGUCGUCCACGCAAGAGACCUGACCUACAAGGCAAGAAACUUUUUGACGAGCACAGUUCAAGUGAAGAAGAGGAUGCAAUCAGUGUAUCUGAUAAAGAAGCAGAAGAUGAACAGCAGGAAGAGGAAGAGGCACCUUUAAUACAUUCACUUAGAUCAUCAGCCAAACUGCGUUCACUGAAAGUUCCAAGGGGGGAUAAUAAAGGGCAUGGGAAGGCAACAGAUUACUAGCGAGCUACAGAGAAUGUGGGCACUUCUAGAACAUCGGAUGAAAAUCAUUCACUUGGAUAAUCAAUGGCGAGGAUCUAUUUUGGCCUCUGAACCAGAGAGGAAAGAUGGACUUAUUGUUGAGUCGGCCUUCCAGCAAGUGACCUAGUUUAAUGUUACUCAUCCCUUGCUGCAGACUUCGGUGCUUCUCACUGUGUUGAAACUUUUUUUGAGAGUGGUGUAGAGAGGUCCAGAACCAAGUCAUGUACAAAUUUGAAAAAGUUAAUGAAUGCGAGCAGCAUGUAGAAAGGACGUUGAACCGGGCGUUUGGUGUAUGAUAUGUAAUUUGAAGCCCGGGGUUUGUGUCUGUGAAUUGCUUGGUCUUUGUUCCCGUAUCAGAAACUAUUUUGCUCUUUUGAGACAAUCUAGGAUAAAACUUUGGUGUUUCAGACCAAUGAGAUGUCACAUAUCAGCGAUAAAGUUCAAUUGGUUAAUAUAUAUUUUUAAAAGAAUUCAUGUGAA